This 477-nucleotide ribosomal RNA is filed under the name uncultured bacterium. RNAcentral's name for it is "SSU rRNA". It matches the Rfam family "Bacterial small subunit ribosomal RNA", at positions 26 to 518 of the family's 1533-position model. The record is from RNAcentral.
AGGACGAACGCUGGCGGCGUGCUUAACACAUGCAAGUCGAGCGGAAAGGCCCUUCGGGGUACUCGAGCGGCGAACGGGUGAGUAACACGUGGGUAAUCAACCCCCGACACCGGGAUAGCCCAGGGAAACUUGGAUUAAUACCGGAUGCUCCAUCUGGCUUUCGAGCCGGCUGGAAAAGGGUAGCUUCGGCCUCCGGUCGGGGACGAGCCCGCGGCGGAUUAGCUUGCUGGUGAGGUAAAGGCCUACCAAGGCUCCGAUCGGUAGCUGGUCUGAGAGGAUGAUCAGCCACACUGGGACUGAGACACGGCCCAGACUCCUACGGGAGGCAGCAGUGGGGAAUAUUGGACAAUGGGCGAAAGCCUGAUCCAGCAAUGCCGCGUGGGUGAAGAAGGUCUUCGGAUUGUAAAGCCCUUUCGACGGGGACGAUGAUGACGGUACCCGUAGAAGAAGCCCGGCUAACUUCGUGCCAGCAGCCGC